AGUUGCUUUAUGACGCCGGGCGCGUGCGCAUUUAAAACAAUUCUCGAAAGAAAUGUUCACAAAUUAGUUUAAAUUCGAAAACGUUUCGGUAUGGACGCAAGAAAAAGGAAUUCUAAGAAAUAGAAAUUCUAAGCGAAACAACAACGAAAAAGGAAAAUAAUUUAAAUAGGGAUAAUAAUAUACAAAAACAUAACAACAAAAACACAACGGUAUUAAGGAAUCUGUUUCAGAAUUUCAGUGAGUUAAAUCUGUUAAAAAGUUCUGCGGUUAAUUUGUUUGUUUCUUUAACAAAAAACGUAAUCUAAUAUUUUAAUUAUUAUCAUCAGCUCAGCAGCAGUGUAGAAUAUAUUGGCCUAAAAUACUAGAUAUUUUAUGUUAAUAUAUUAAAUUCGAGUGACUUACGUCACCCAAGAUUUUGUACAUUUUCAAGCGGUAAGUGUUAAGUCAGCGCGUUCGUAUUUAUGGGACAUUGGAGAUUUGUACAUGGAUGCUAGUGGGGGAACGGCUAUUAAAAUUUCGCUGACUGGUUGGGUGUCAAGUUCGCAAGACUGAAGUUUCGAUGACUAAGGGUAUCCUCCUACUGUUUUGGAAUUGUUUAUGCUGGAUUGUAUUUUAUGUUAAUGUGUGGAAUUUGGUUGGGUCACUUUUCUCGAUGUGGUUCGAUUGAAGUUUUCAACCUAGUUUUAGUAAUUGUAGUUUCAUAUAGAAUAGGCAGGCUAUAACUUUAUAUUGUUUCGAGAAAUGCGGA
This 748-nucleotide long non-coding RNA is filed under the name Drosophila melanogaster (fruit fly). RNAcentral describes it as "flamenco (Dmel_CR46037)". The record is from RNAcentral. Lineage: Eukaryota; Metazoa; Arthropoda; Insecta; Diptera; Drosophilidae.